Molecule: long non-coding RNA, 1051 nt
Organism: Strongylocentrotus purpuratus (purple sea urchin)
Lineage: Eukaryota; Metazoa; Echinodermata; Echinoidea; Camarodonta; Strongylocentrotidae
Exons: 3
Source: RefSeq, a predicted model, not a curated record
CGGCCAUUGCUCUCAGUUUCAGUUUAGUAACAUUAACAAAAGUUCAAUUUCAAAUAUAAUUUAACGACAAAAAUGGUAUUUUCUCGGCUAGCUGUUAUAUCCAGAAGGUCCUUUGGGACAUCAGUUAUCCGACAAGCUGGAUAUGGAGAAGGACCUGGAACUAACAUGCCAUUCCCAACCAGGAACAAGUGGUUACUCUUGGGCAUCAUGGCAGCAUUCUUUGGCUCGGGCUUUGCUGCACCAUUCGUUCUCGUUAGACACCAGCUGCUGAAGAAGUAGAUUUACAGAUUGUACAGAUUUAUAGUCCUUCAUCCUGACCCAAUAGAACUAAGAAGAUGUGAAAUGCAAAUGGGAACAACUGCAGCCAUGGAGACAGCCACAGGACAAGACUAUUUAAUUUAAUUUAAAUUUUGCCUGACUUUUAUCAGUCCUUAUGAAACAAGAGUGGGUUAAUUUUUUUCAUGGAUUGGUUAGCAUUCAUUGAGAAUAUGUCAUGAGGGAUCCAAUGAGGAAUGGAAUCUUUAUCUUCUGAAGUAAUUAAUGAAUGUGUUUUUAUAUGUAGUAUUGUUAUAAACUGCUUUAUUGUUAUUUCUUACGGUCAGACGCACAAAUUCGUAAGUUUUAUGCAGGAGUGGUUACAGGGUAGCUAUAUUGUUUAAAGUGAAAACUUUUCCUUCUCGCACAAAAAGAAGUUGAUGUAUUGUAUACCUCUUCAAUUCACAUUUCCAUGUUUGUUUGUUUGUGCUUAUGGUGCUGUCUUUAAGAAAAUGGUGUGAUAUUUAUUUCAGGCAGUACUGUCAACCAUUUUACUUGAACCAUUCAUGCACAAUUAAAGAAAUUUAAUAUUAAAUGAUUGAAUACAAGUUUUCUCCAUUAAUCUACAUACACAGUUCGCAGGAUUAGUCAUAUGACAUUGCGGGAGAUUUCCAACCUUCUCAUAACUGGUUGCAUUUUGCAUUUCCAUCUUUGAUGUUCACUUAUUUGAAUGUGCUUCACAUGUUACAUUGAGUAAAUAGAGAAAAUGUAUUAAAUAAGUUGAUUAAACUUUGAA